UUACAAAAACUGGUUUUUAUCGAAUAAUUAUUUCGUUAUAUAGAAACAUCAGAUUCGUUAUUUGGAGAUAAAACGUGUAAUUAAAUGUGUAAUUAACAAUGAAGGUCAUAGUUCUUAAAAAUAUUUCGUUAAAUGGAAGUUUCACUGUAUUAGAAUUACAUAUACACAAUGCGAAUUCCAUUAUUUCAGUAGAAUGAACAAAAUGCCGUUAUAAAAAUA
Molecule: non-coding RNA, 219 nt
Organism: Cinara cedri
Lineage: Eukaryota; Metazoa; Arthropoda; Insecta; Hemiptera; Aphididae
Source: the annotation of a GenBank genome assembly